AUUGAACGCUGGCGGCAGGCCUAACACAUGCAAGUCGAGCGGAUGAGAGGAGCUUGCUCUUCGAUUCAGCGGCGGACGGGUGAGUAAUGCCUAGGAAUCUGCCUAGUAGUGGGGGACAACGUUUCGAAAGGAACGCUAAUACCGCAUACGUCCUACGGGAGAAAGUGGGGGAUCUUCGGACCUCACGCUAUUAGAUGAGCCUAGGUGGGAUUAGCUAGUUGGUAGGGUAACGGCCUACCAAGGCGACGAUCCGUAACUGGUCUGGGAGGAUGACCAGUCCAACUGGAACUGAGACACGGUCCAGACUCCUACGGGAGGCAGCAGUGGGGAAUAUUGUACAAUGGGCGAAAGCCUGAUCCAGCCAUGCCGCGUGUGUGAAGAAGGCCCUCGGGUCGUAAAGCACUUUAAGUUGGGAGGAAGGGCUUACAGCGAAUACCUGUGAGUUUUGACGUUACCGACGGAGUAAGCACCGGCUAACUUCGUGCCAGCCGCCGCCGUAA
This 500-nucleotide ribosomal RNA is filed under the name uncultured bacterium. RNAcentral's name for it is "partial 16S ribosomal RNA". It matches the Rfam family "Bacterial small subunit ribosomal RNA", at positions 30 to 523 of the family's 1533-position model. The record is from RNAcentral.